GUGCUCACUUCGGCAGCACAUAUACUAAAAUUGAACCAAUACAGAGAAGAUUAGCAUGGCUCCUAGGUGAGUAUGACACACAAAUUCAUGAAGGUUCCAUAUUUUUU
Antechinus flavipes (yellow-footed antechinus) is the source of this 107-nucleotide small nuclear RNA. NCBI's taxonomy places the organism in Eukaryota, Metazoa, Chordata, Mammalia, Dasyuromorphia, Dasyuridae. The record is from RefSeq and is a predicted model, not a curated record.